Molecule: long non-coding RNA, 4947 nt
Organism: Brassica napus (rape)
Lineage: Eukaryota; Viridiplantae; Streptophyta; Magnoliopsida; Brassicales; Brassicaceae
Exons: 5
Source: RefSeq, a predicted model, not a curated record
GGUCCAAAGGCCCCAUAACGCAACUCCUACAUUCCAAUCCGACGAUUCAAAGUUCCCAGCCACCGCAACCUGUUCGUAACCGUCGACGUUAAACUUUGCAAUCACUACAAGCUUUCAACGACUUCUUAAUCCUUCUGCAUAUAAUACAUAUAUGGACUAGAAGGCAUGAAUCCACGUAUCUCAUCGUUUCUCAGUUUUCUCCUCUCCAAAACUCUCCAAAACUCUCUCUAAGGGCGAGUUUGACUAUGGCGAUUCUUUAACUGAUUCUGUCUGAUUUGAAGGCUGGUCUUGUCAGCAGGCUCCUUUGUUGUUGGGAAGGAAUAAGGUCGAGAGCUUAUUGGAAUUGAAAAGAAUCCAGUGGUCAAGUUUGUAGGAGUUGUAAACGCGAAAGAAAAAGUUAUAGCAGAAACGAUGCAUCAACUCUCCCUGGAGAUCAAUGAGGUUAAUAAGAAGAAAUUUUAUAAUGCAAAAAUGUGGGUGAGCCAAUGUUGAAUUUCAAGGAGUUGCAAGAGUUCAAGCAUGUCGUUGAUGAUGCCCCUACCACUACUACAAACUUGGCUGAAAAUAAGAUGAGCAUGAAUCUAGAUGGGGAACUUCCAUGAGAUGAUCCACUACAUUACUUUGCUGUUCAUGCUGUCAAGAGCAUCCAAAACAGAUCUAACUCUUUGCUACUUUAUGAACUUCAAUAGGGUGUGCAUGCAACCCUGAGACCUUUUUGAGGUUUAUGGAGCUUCGUAGAUGACAUCAGGACUGUCGUGUAUACACGCUUUGGAGAUGUGUGCUUUUUGAGCUGUGAAACAUGACUACUAUAUAGUGGAGUUAUACGGGCAUGAGAUAUCUUUCAAAUGGAAAACCUCAGAAAAUGGAAACGUACAUCAACACAUAUUUCAAUCCGCUAUCCUAAUGGAGUUUAUAGAAGGAUGAUCUUCUUCUUUUUUUUGAUCAAUAGAAGGAGGAUCUCUAAAGGGACCCAGAUGGCAACGUACGUGCAAUAGAUGGAAGGAUCUUACAAGUGUCCAUAGAGGACAUAGCAGAUAUCCUUCAAGUGGCCAAUGGACCUGACAACCUAUUCUCACAGCAACGUGGCACUCCAGCAGUCAUUCAAACCGAUCCAAACAAACACGUAGGAGUCGCCACAACAAAAAUCAAUCCAGAUCUUUCAUACCAACCAAAAAGUCAACCAUCGAUCGACGGGACAACUGAGACAGGAAGCGAGUGAAAUCGCUCGAUGGUAAGUCGCCGAGAUCGACCGACGAACACAUAAUCACAUCGAUCGACGCCGAGUCUACACCAGCCAGCGAGCAGCUGAUACACAAGACGAUAGAAUCAAUGCACAAGGAACUGACAGAACUUUCAGCAUACGCCUAUGACAACAUAGGCUUGCACCAGGUCAGCAUUGACAACAUUCAGGAUAGGCUACAUAACAUCUCCAAUGUACUUGAGAAGAUGAAUGACAAAUAGACAAGAAAUGAUGAGGCCACAAGAAGUUUCAUCGCAUCUUGGUCCAGAAUGUGCAGAGAUGACGUGGAUGCUUGUUUUCCAACAAGCAGUUGUUUCUCCACCAAAUAGCCACUCACUACCACAGUCAAACUAAAUGACUAUAACCAAGCGCUGAGUGGGAGAGAGUGGGAGACAACCCACUAUUAGGUAUUUUAUUUUUGUUUUAUUAGCUAGCAUUUAUUUACUUUCGUUUUAUUUCUUUCAGAUUUAGGAGACCCAAGUAGGAGGACCUGAAUAUCGACCGCCGACGAAACGUCGACAUCGCUCGACAUAGACAACCACACGACGAUCGAUGUAACAUUUUCCCAUCGAUCGAUAUCUAAUCCGGUCAGAUGUAUCUUCCCUACUUGUUACAUUUCGUACAUCAUGAACUAUUCCAUCAUAACUCCGGCUGAGUAAUACUGGGACAGUGUAAUUUAAGUCUGGGGGAGAUUUACUGAUAUAAUUUAUUUUAUUCUUAUAUAAAACAUAUGAUCAGCAUGACCUUUAACAAAUCCCAUAGAGAAGAAAGCUUUAGAUAACUUCUUGAACCAUUGACGUGAAGCCUAUUUAAGACCAUAGAUUGGUUUUCUCAACCGAAGAACAUGACGAGAAGGAAGAGAGCCCCCCUGUCUUUCAGCAUAGCCUUAGAUGUAUAUCUCUUUCUCAAACUCACCAUUCAAAAAGGCAUUUGAGAUAUCAAGCAGUAUUAAAUACCAUUUCUUCGAAUCUGCAACUUUCAACAACAACUUGAUAGUAGCCAUUUUGGCAACAUAUAUUCAGCUCUCGAUGGUUCCUAAUCUGAAGUUAUCAAAGAGUGAUGGUGUGAUUCAUGCUGAUGAUGGGAUGUAUAGACGGAUUGUGGGACGUCUCAUGUAUCUAACUAUCACUCGGCCUAACAUAUCUUUUGAUGUCAACGAGUCAUGUCAGUAGUCUUAUGCUCCAUGGACAUCUCAUUUGAAAGUCGUUUACAAAGUCUUACAAUACAUCAAAAGUACAAUUGGUCAAGGUUUGUUUUAUAUCCAUCAAGCGUUUCAACUGAGAAAGGUCCCCAAAUAUCAAUAUGCAACAACUCAAAGUUUGUGUUACAAAUGUUAUUGAGCAAUAUAUAUGGAUAUUUCUUCUGUUACACAGAGUCUUUAUUCUUGAGUUUUGAAGUUCCUAAAUCUUCAGAUAUCACAUCCAGUCUUAAAUAUGAUGGCUGACCAAGACGCAUGUGCCAUACACAAACAUCCACGACUGAGUUAACUGAGGCUUGAAGAUUUUGCGUGUCCAACACAUAGAGAUUUCCAAUUCGUCUACCCUGACCAAUCGUCAAUGCCCUGGUAGGAUCAUGAAUGAGACUCGAAAAACGAAUAAAUAUGACACGAGAGUUCAAGUCUCUCAUCAAAGAGCUGAUACUGAGAAGAUUCAGCCUGAAUUCUGGUAUGUAUAACACAUUUAUUGAGACAUAUGUGCGAGUUGAGUUGAACCUUUGCAACACCACUAAUCUUAAUCAUAGAUCUGGUUGGUAGGUUAACAUAACUCUCUACUGAUGUAUCAGUAGAUAUAAACAGUUGUGUCUCAUGAGUAACAUGGUGUAUAGCACCAGAAUCAAGCACCCAUGUUUGAGAAGACAAUGUAUGCUGAGAGACCAUUUAAAUACCAACAAAGCUAUAUGUUGUUGAUGAAAGAGAGAUACUAGAAUUAGAUGUUCUCGCUUCCAUGGUACCAGUUGCUGGAGAUGAUUGCAACUGAGAUGUGAAAAGAGCGAAGAACUGCUGAAUCUGAUCCUUUGAGAGACUACCAAGCAUAUUCUCAACAUUAGAAGUCUUGUGCUCGGUAAUAGGAGGUGAACAACCAUUAAUCUGAGCAGCCACCGUUGGAAGAGAGUUAGACUUAUCCUGAGGUUUGAAUUUGGAAACGAAGCCUGGAGUAAAGCCAUGCUUUUUAUAGCAAUGUUCAACAAUAUGUCCAGGACGCUUAUAGAAUGAACAAAUAGCUUGUUCAUUCACCAAUGGAGGAAUUUCAGAGACUUGAAACGUAGAUGGAGAAGGUGAAAUAGAAGAGAAUCCCUUAUGACACAUCUUGAUCCAAGAUAUUAUAAACUUCCACCAAUGAAGGCAAGACUUUCAUCAUAAUAAUUUGACAUCUAAUGAUCGCAUAAGAAUCAUUAAGACCUGCCAAAAACUUCACAAUCUUGGAACGUUCAUUCUUCAAUUGAUGCUUUGCAGCAUUACCACAUAUACAAGGCUGAUCCGGUUCAUCAUAACUCUCAAGAUUAUCCCACAAUUUCUUCAGCGUAUUAAAAUAUUCAGAAAGAUACAUUGAGCCUUGAUGAAGAUCAUGUACCUGUUGAGUAAGAUUAAAAGUUCUCGGAAGAUUUUUCAUGUAAAAAAGACCUUGUAGGUCACACCAUAUGUUAGACGCAGCAUUCAAUCGGAGAAUACUGCGAUAGAUCUGGUUAGAUACGGAAUUCAAUAACCAUGACUUGACCAUACUAUUGCAGCAAGACCAAAUACGAAAACUAAAAUGAGAUUCUUCAGGACGAGUGGGAGUUCCAUCAAUGAAUCUUAUCUUGUUCUUAGCAUCUAAAGCAAUUUUCAUCUCAGCACUCCAAGCAUCAUAGUUUGAACCAUCGAGUUGUAUGGAGAUAAGUUGUAAACCUGGAUGAUCGGAGUUAUUCAUGUACAGAGGAGACUGAGUGAUAUCGGUGAGAUUCGCCAUGGAAAACACGUGUGAUGUAUCAGUUGAUGGAGCAACAGAAACCGGAGGAGAGUGAGUCACGGCGUUCGAUCGAGACGAGUUUCGAGUAGUACUGCGAGGUAUCUUGUUUAUGGACACCAUCAGAGCUCAAAAACGAUAGAUAAGAAUAAAAAAGGAGCUGAGAAACGAAAUAUCAAAGCGGAGUCAAAUGAUAAAAGAGUUAUGUGAUUGGUCUGAUACCAUAUUACGUAUUGAGAACGAGAUCAAUGAAGAACGAAAGCUUUGGAGAAGAAGAAGUUUGUUAGAAGAAAAUGUAUAUUGAUCUGUUAAUCCUAUCGGUUGUUUACAAGUUAAGGUGUUUAUAUACAAUACAUAUUUACUAAACCGAAAUAGAUAAACUGAACCAGCGAAAGAGAACCAAUUCAGCCUAACUAAAUAACCCGGGUUAUACUUCAAUAAUCUAUUUUGUUGAUAUGGAACCAGAUUGGUUCAGAGUGAAGUAUCCUUGGAAAAAAAGGAAGAUGUAGUGAUGGAUUGAUCUGGGUUGAUUUUAAUAGAGAUUUAGAUGAGUUGGCAUCUUCUAUAUAUGAAAGAUGGUCCGACAAAACUCUAUCGAAUCAUCUGAGAUCUUUUCAGUUUUAUCAAGUGACGUUAAUAGGGAGUUUGAAGAGUGCACAAGCCUUUGGAGUCUAGACUCGCAGUGCUUGUUAUGUAGAUUAGCCAUGUGAUUGUAUUGUUUGCUAUCUGUCUUAGCUUGUAUUUUCGAUAAUAAUGAAAUAUAUA